CUACGGGGGGCUGCAGUGAGGAAUAUUGCACAAUGGGGGGAACCCUGAUGCAGCAACGCCGCGUGGAGGAUGACGCAUUCCGGUGUAUAAACUCCUUUUAUAUGUCAAGAAAAUGACGGUAGCAUACGAAUAAGCACCGGCUAACUCCGUGCCAGCAGCCGCGGUAAUACGGAGGGUGCAAGCGUUACUCGGAAUCACUGGGCGUAAAGGACGCGUAGGCGGGUUGGAAAGUCAGGUGUGAAAUCCUACAGCUUAACUGUAGAACUGCACUUGAAACUUCUAAUCUAGAGUAUGGGAGGGGGAGAUGGAAUUAGUGGUGUAGGGGUAAAAUCCGUAGAUAUCACUAGGAAUACCUAAAGCGAAGGCGAUCUCCUGGAACAUUACUGACGCUAAGGCGUGAAAGCGUGGGGAGCAAACAGGAUUAGAUACCCGUGUAGUC
RNAcentral lists this ribosomal RNA (439 nucleotides) under uncultured bacterium. RNAcentral's name for it is "partial 16S ribosomal RNA". It matches the Rfam family "Bacterial small subunit ribosomal RNA", at positions 339 to 795 of the family's 1533-position model. The record is from RNAcentral.